Molecule: non-coding RNA, 1210 nt
Organism: Schizosaccharomyces pombe (fission yeast)
Lineage: Eukaryota; Fungi; Ascomycota; Schizosaccharomycetes; Schizosaccharomycetales; Schizosaccharomycetaceae
Source: the annotation of a GenBank genome assembly
AAGCUGUGUGCUAUUACAAAACAGAUCGUUAAAUGUUUUAUUUUAUGUCGCCUUUCAAUUCCCUCAAUGUUAAGCCUAUAAAGUUUGCAAAUAUGUAUUUUCUUAGGAAGAAACCUUUGUUUAUAUGUAGAGAAAAUUUUUUAUUUCGCAGCGCAAUCAGAGGAGAUAGAGAUAUCUUUCGCGUGUAAGUUUAAAUCCAAAACGCUAACUAACUUAAUGUGAUAGAAAGCCAACCAAGAGGCUGAAUUCGUAGAUUGUAAGGAAUAUGGGUAUUAUCAAAUGACGAAGAUUAGAUUACGCCGCCGUCCUUAAUAUAAAUUAAUGAUAAGUAUAUGAACGGAUGCACAAUAGAGAUAAUUGAUAAAAACUUGGCUGUGCAGCUGACCUGAUUCUCAAAAGCUUUACUUGAGGUAUAGAUAAAGCAACGAAAUAAGAUAUUUUCGCUAAGUCUGCAAGUACGAGAAAUCGGGCGUAGGCUGAUCUAUGUGCAAAACGGUAUGUUAACUCAAAAGCCAAAAUAUAGGAUGAUAGAGUAAACUCGUAUAAUCAAUAUGAGUCAAAAAAAAGUAUGAAUGGAAUGCAGGGUAAUGCUUUUUGAACGAACAAUCAAAGAAAUGAAGGAGGAAAACAGUGCGAAUUGAAGUUAACAAACGAAUGGAAAAGAUGAAUAUCGACGAUAAAACAAACGUGUAAUGCCAAACAAAAUAGAAAAAAAUGAAAUGUAGAAAAACUCAAGAAAAAGACAGUGUGGACUUUGGUAAAAGCUAGUGAUCAAUUAAUUUCCGGAUCCAAAAGAAACGGAUAGAUGCAAACAAUGGUGUCGAAAGUAAUGUCGACUCCUACAAGAAACUAAUUAGUCGUAUCAAAAAUUGAUUUUGAUAAUUGAUGAACUUUGCUUAGGUUUUAUAGUUAAACUAGUUUGCUUGGAAUAGGUCGAUAACGGGUCGUCCAUUUCGUCUUUCAAUAUAACAAGCUAUUAACUAUACUUGUUUUCAUUCAUUUUUUUUGAUAGGAAGCUCACCGCGGCAAGCCUUUUUGUAGUUUUCUGUUGAUUUCGUGGUUUUGUUGUCGCAUCUAUUUUUUUGAGUUUAAAGUUGUCAAGAUAAAAAUAAGGCCAGCAGUUGAACACAUCGCUUAAUCUUAUCAGUUAGUUUUUCACGUAAGUAAAAAGAGUUUUCGACGAAGAUUCUCAAGUAGUGUUUUGGUUUUA